This 87-nucleotide transfer RNA is filed under the name bacterium. RNAcentral's name for it is "tRNA-Ile". The record is from RNAcentral.
GGAGGGUGAUCCCGCGGUCGGGAAAAGCGUCUGAUAACCGCUUGUCCGUUUUUGGCGGACAGGGUUCGAUUCCCUCGCCCUCCGCCA